This 253-nucleotide ribosomal RNA is filed under the name uncultured bacterium. Its description in RNAcentral is "partial 16S ribosomal RNA". It matches the Rfam family "Bacterial small subunit ribosomal RNA", at positions 524 to 776 of the family's 1533-position model. The record is from RNAcentral.
UACGUAGGGACCAAGCGUUGUCCGGAUUUAUUGGGCGUAAAGAGCUCGUAGGCGGCCCUCCACGUCGGAUGUGAAAGCUCAGGGCUCAACCCUGGGAUGCCAUUCGAUACGGGAAGGCUAGAGGUAGGUAGGGGAAAGUGGAAUUCCUGGUGUAGCGGUGAAAUGCGCAGAUAUCAGGAGGAACACCGGUGGCGAAGGCGGCUUUCUGGGCCUUACCUGACGCUGAGGAGCGAAAGCUGGGGGAGCGAACAGG